RNAcentral lists this ribosomal RNA (397 nucleotides) under uncultured bacterium. Its description in RNAcentral is "bacterial SSU rRNA". It matches the Rfam family "Bacterial small subunit ribosomal RNA", at positions 355 to 766 of the family's 1533-position model. The record is from RNAcentral.
UGGGGAAUAUUGCGCAAUGGGGGAAACCCUGACGCAGCAACGCCGCGUGAAGGAUGAAGGCUUUCGGGUUGUAAACUUCUUUGAUGAGGGACGAAAGAAAUGACGGUACCUCAAAAACAAGCCACGGCUAACUACGUGCCAGCAGCCGCGGUAAUACGUAGGUGGCGAGCGUUGUCCGGAAUUACUGGGUGUAAAGGGCGUGUAGGCGGGGAUGCAAGUCAGAUGUGAAAUGCCGGGGCUUAACUCCGGAGCUGCAUCUGAAACUGUGUGUCUUGAGUGUCGGAGAGGAAAGCGGAAUUCCCAGUGUAGCGGUGAAAUGCGUAGAUAUUGGGAGGAACACCAGUGGCGAAGGCGGCUUUCUGGACGAUAACUGACGCUGAGGCGCGAAAGCGUGGGG